UACGUAGGGUCCGAGCGUUGUCCGGAAUUACUGGGCGUAAAGAGCUCGUAGGUGGUUUGUCGCGUUGUUCGUGAAAACUCACAGCUCAACUGUGGGCGUGCGGGCGAUACGGGCAGACUUGAGUACUGCAGGGGAGACUGGAAUUCCUGGUGUAGCGGUGGAAUGCGCAGAUAUCAGGAAGAACACCGGUGGCGAAGGCGGCUCGCUGGGCCAGUUCUGACACUCAUCCGCGAAAGCGUGGGGAGCAAACAGG
RNAcentral lists this ribosomal RNA (253 nucleotides) under uncultured bacterium. RNAcentral's name for it is "partial 16S ribosomal RNA". It matches the Rfam family "Bacterial small subunit ribosomal RNA", at positions 524 to 776 of the family's 1533-position model. The record is from RNAcentral.